This 323-nucleotide ribosomal RNA is filed under the name uncultured eukaryote. Its description in RNAcentral is "partial 18S ribosomal RNA". It matches the Rfam family "Eukaryotic small subunit ribosomal RNA", at positions 1470 to 1796 of the family's 1831-position model. The record is from RNAcentral.
CCCUUAGAUGCUCUGGGCCGCACGCGUGCUACACUGAACGGUUCAAUGGGUAAGGUAGUGCGAAAGCAUGACCUAAUCUCGAAAUCCGUUCGUGCUGGGGAUAGAAGCUUGCAAUUAUCCUUCUUGAACGAGGAAUACCUUGUAAGCGUGAGUCAUCAUCUCACGCUGAAUACGUCCCUGCCCUUUGUACACACCGCCCGUCGCUCCUACCGAUUGAGUGUUCCGGUGAGGCUUUGGGAGAAUGGCCUCAACAUGAGUUUAUCGUGUUUUGCCGUUUGAACUUAGUCAAACCUUAUCACUUAGAGGAAGGAGAAGUCGUAACA